GAUGAACGCUGGCGGCGUGCCUAAUACAUGCAAGUCGAGCGAACAGACGAGGAGCUUGCUCCUCUGACGUUAGCGGCGGACGGGUGAGUAACACGUGGAUAACCUACCUAUAAGACUGGGAUAACUUCGGGAAACCGGAGCUAAUACCGGAUAAUAUAUUGAACCGCAUGGUUCAAUAGUGAAAGACGGUUUUGCUGUCACUUAUAGAUGGAUCCGCGCCGCAUUAGCUAGUUGGUAAGGUAACGGCUUACCAAGGCAACGAUGCGUAGCCGACCUGAGAGGGUGAUCGGCCACACUGGAACUGAGACACGGUCCAGACUCCUACGGGAGGCAGCAGUAGGGAAUCUUACGCAAUGGGCGAAAGCCUGACGGAGCAACGCCGCGUGAGUGAUGAAGGUCUUCGGAUCGUAAAACUCUGUUAUUAGGGAAGAACAAAUGUGUAAGUAACUAUGCACGUCUUGACGGUACCUAAUCAGAAAGCCACGGCUAACUACGCG
This 497-nucleotide ribosomal RNA is filed under the name uncultured bacterium. RNAcentral's name for it is "partial 16S ribosomal RNA". It matches the Rfam family "Bacterial small subunit ribosomal RNA", at positions 28 to 507 of the family's 1533-position model. The record is from RNAcentral.